Non-coding RNA from Hordeum vulgare subsp. vulgare (domesticated barley), 122 nucleotides. Lineage: Eukaryota; Viridiplantae; Streptophyta; Magnoliopsida; Poales; Poaceae. The record is from Rfam.
AGAUGCGAUCAUACCAGCACUAAAGCACCGGAUCCCAUCAAAACACCGAAGUUAAGCGUGCUUGGGCNNNNNNAGUACUAGGAUGGGUGACCUCAUGGAAGUAAUGCUUAAGUUUCCGACUC